Non-coding RNA from Malus domestica (apple), 1140 nucleotides. The record is from RefSeq and is a predicted model, not a curated record. NCBI's taxonomy places the organism in Eukaryota, Viridiplantae, Streptophyta, Magnoliopsida, Rosales, Rosaceae.
AUGGUGCUCUCAUCUCUGUGAUGCGGAGCUGAUCAAAUUUUAUGACUAAUUAAAUUAUUGUUUGCUUGCAAAGAUGUCAUUAACUUUCAAUUGGCUUUUGCAGUACGUUUGGGACCAAGCUGAAUUUGAUAUCAUUAAGCUCAAGACAAUAAUAUGCUUAUACCUAUGAUUAUAGAUGCGGAUGCGGUAACAGUGGUCAGAAAUCGAGUUUGAAUUGUCCUCUAUAUUCAAGAAUACGAAGUUUCUAUUGGCAUGAAGUUUUGAAGAUAACAAAUUGCGUGAGAAAUAAGGGUUGGCACAGAUGGGUAGGGCAUUGGUUUUUGAGAUCUUGGACAAACCAGCCACAAGUUGUUUCAUAGGAAUAUGCGGUGCAAUUUGUUUCUACAUACAGAAGAAAAACAUUGGCUAUUUACAUGUGGGCUUGAGUUAUGAAACUGCGGUUGCAGGGCACCAUUGGAGGAUUAUAACUUUAGCUUUCUCUCAUAUAAGCAUGAAGGCCGUGUCGAAGCUGGUAAAUAAAGAUUCCUCAGUGCAUCAGGUUCUUGACUAUUUUCAGCACUUCAGAGGCUGGUUCGACAUUCCGUUGUUUGUGAGGUCGCCAUGAAGAAGCCUGACUCUGCUGUGAAGAGAGCUUGGCAGGCCGAAAAGAGGAGGAUUUACAACAAAUCCCAGAAAUCUGAAAUCAAAACCCGGAUGAAGAAGGUCAUGAUGUCAUUCCACGAGUGUGGAGGCGAUGUCGGGGAUGAUGUACAUAUCCCACUUUCUCACCGGGUGACAGAAAUUGGCCAAAAGAAUCCUGAUAUAUAUUUUACUAAUAAAGAAGGGAAACGCAACACUGAACGUCUCACUUGGGGAAUUGACAAAGAGCGGGUUUUAAGAGGCCACACUGCUGUUGAGGUAUAGUAUUCUAGAAUUACUUAGUUAUGCUGGUCUUUUAUUUCUAUGGAUUGCCAUAGCUCCUUUCCUAUAUUUGUCUUCUUGUACAUGUUCCACUCAUGUUUUAAAAGAAACUAUUGCUAAACCUAUUCCAACUUAUAUGUUCUAUAUUUCUAAGAAUUUUCCUUUCCUAUGAUCUAAGAAUCAGACCUUAUGCAUUCUUACUGUUUAAUGCUGAGAGUUUCUAUUUUGUUAUAUUAUAAU